RNAcentral lists this ribosomal RNA (486 nucleotides) under uncultured bacterium. RNAcentral describes it as "partial 16S ribosomal RNA". It matches the Rfam family "Bacterial small subunit ribosomal RNA", at positions 29 to 507 of the family's 1533-position model. The record is from RNAcentral.
AUUGAACGCUGGCGGCAUGCUUUACACAUGCAAGUCGAGCGGCAGCGCGGGGGCAACCCUGGCGGCGAGCGGCGAACGGGUGAGUAAUGCAUCGGAACGUAUCCUCGAGUGGGGGAUAACCCAGCGAAAGUUGGGCUAAUACCGCAUGAGCUCUGAGGAGGAAAGCGGGGGACCUGCGAGGGCCUCGCGCUGGAGGAGCGGCCAAUGUCCGAUUAGCUAGUUGGUGGGGUAAAGGCUUACCAAGGCGACGAUCGGUAGCUGGUCUGAGAGGAUGAUCAGCCACACUGGGACUGAGACACGGCCCAGACUCCUACGGGAGGCAGCAGUGGGGAAUUUUGGACAAUGGGGGCAACCCUGAUCCAGCCAUGCCGCGUGAGUGAAGAAGGCCUUCGGGUUGUAAAGCUCUUUCGGACGGAACGAAAUGGGCGGGACUAAUACUCCUGUCUGAUGACGGUACCGUAAGAAGAAGCACCGGCUAACUACGUG